UACAGAGGUCUCAAGCGUUGUUCGGAUUCAUUGGGCGUAAAGGGUGCGUAGGCGGCGCGGUAAGUCGGGUGUGAAAUCCCAGGGCUCAACCCUGGAACUGCAUUCGAUACUGCCUGGCUAGGGUACUGGAGAGGAGACUGGAAUUUACGGUGUAGCAGUGAAAUGCGUAGAUAUCGUAAGGAAGACCAGUGGCGAAGGCGAGUCUCUGGACAGUUACCGACGCUGAGGCACGAAGGUCAGGGGAGCAAACGGG
RNAcentral lists this ribosomal RNA (253 nucleotides) under uncultured bacterium. Its description in RNAcentral is "partial 16S ribosomal RNA". It matches the Rfam family "Bacterial small subunit ribosomal RNA", at positions 524 to 776 of the family's 1533-position model. The record is from RNAcentral.